This 1370-nucleotide long non-coding RNA is filed under the name Fukomys damarensis (Damara mole-rat). Its description in RNAcentral is "lncRNA (ENSFDAG00000023315.1)". The record is from RNAcentral. Lineage: Eukaryota; Metazoa; Chordata; Mammalia; Rodentia; Bathyergidae.
CAUGAUGGGAAGAAGUAGCUUGUCCUUUGUUGGGAGAAGUCAUAUUUUAACAUGGAGGCUGCUAUUCAUGUGGCAGCCAUCUUAAGGCAAGGGAAAAGGGAAAUGUAAUACUGGUGGCCCCAUUGCUACCCUUACACACUCUCUUUGGAACCCAACCUGGAUGAGCGUCGGAUCUUUGGGUGAACUCGUCUGUGAGAGACUCGGAGUAAAAGGGACAGCACGUGGAUCUCCCAGGACCACUUCCGGACACAGACGAGGGACACUAGUGCAGGUUUCACACAACCACCUGCUAUGCUCCGUUGGCAUACAGAUGCCGUGGGCAAGACCCAGAAACCACAAGUCCUUUGGAAGAUGUCCAAGCAGGUAACUGGAGAGGCCCCGCUGCCCUGAUAACUUGGGGGAGAGAUUUUGCUCGUGUGCUGACAGAUAACGAAACCUCGUGGCUGCUCUCUGGGAACGUGGCACCCUGGGUCGUGCUGGUGGAACCGCCCCGCCCUCUGGGAGACUGAGGAUUGCACCCCUGCUGAGAGCAAAGAGCCAGCUGAGCCUGGACCAACCACCUCACCCAGGACAACUGCACAGAUGCACGAUAAGGUCCGGGAUUGAGAUGAUGCCUCCAGCGGGAGAACGAAUAUGGAUAUAUAUGGUAUUAAAAAGACUGGGUCCUGAAGAUUAUGGAGCUGUCCCUGCCCAGUUGAUGCAGACCCUGAAGAAGAUACCACAACCACAGCGAAGUCCGCAUGCUGUCUUCCAAGUGCUGCUGCAGAUAAUUAUCUCUGACUAUACUGUUUCUGUCUCCCCUAUUGUGGCAAACCUUUCCAAAUUUCCUUUGCUAGCCAGCUGGGCCAAAUCAUUUGGUCUCUCACAUCUUCUCAAAUUUUAAUAGAACAGUUUUUUCCUUGGCUAAGAAGCCCUGUUGGGUCCAGAGAUUUAGCUCAGUGGUGCUGCCAACUGCCUCACAAGUGCAAUGUCCUAAGCUCAAUCCCUGGUACCCACUCCCCACCAAAAAGAAGCCCUGCUGAACCACAAAUAAAUGGAGAAUAGAAUUCAUCUAAAUUAAUACCAGCACAAUACAGAGAUCCUGUAGCACUUACACCUUACCUGGCUGCUUUGUGUACUCUAUGGUCCAGACAGACUCACUGGUCACUUUUCAGGCCUUGGACAGUCACUUGGCUGGUGGUGUUGUCUGUACUUUAUAUUUCUGUCCUGCUGCAAGAAGCUCUGAACUGAGAUCCAUGUUCACUGGAGCCUAGUGAGGAAAGCUGUGAAACACCAAAAGACUAUUUUAUUACCCAGGGUUCCAAAGACUAAACUUAAUCUAUUUUUAUCGUAUCCCAACUUUAUCCCAUCCUCUUUUUUUAAGUGGGCUC